This 459-nucleotide ribosomal RNA is filed under the name uncultured bacterium. Its description in RNAcentral is "partial 16S ribosomal RNA". It matches the Rfam family "Bacterial small subunit ribosomal RNA", at positions 338 to 795 of the family's 1533-position model. The record is from RNAcentral.
CCUACGGGUGGCAGCAGUGAGGAAUAUUGGUCAAUGGGCGCGAGCCUGAACCAGCCAAGUCGCGUGAGGGAAGACGGUCCUAUGGAUUGUAAACCUCUUUUGUCGGGGAGCAAAAGACGCCACGCGUGGCGUUCCGAGAGUACCCGAAGAAAAAGCAUCGGCUACCUCCGUGCCAGCAGCCGCGGUAAUACGGAGGAUGCGAGCGUUAUCCGGAUUUAUUUGGUUUACAGGGUGCGCAGGCGGAAGAUGAAGUCAGCGGUAAAAUUGAGAGGCUCAACCUCUUCGAGCCAUUGAAACUGGUUUUCGUGAGUGAGUGAGAAGUAUGCGGAAUGCGUGGUGUAGCGGUGAAAUGCAUAGAUAUCACGUAGAACUCCGAUUGCGAAGGCAGCAUACCGGCGCUCAACUGACGCGCAUGCACGAAAGUGUGGGUAUCGAACAGGAUUAGAUACCCGAGUAGUC